CUCACGAGAGGCAGUGCGAAGCACCUGGCUGACUGCCCGGCAACCUCUACUCCGUCUGAGGUGCUCCAGGGGAAGAGCCGGCUGUCGCGGCGUCCGCCACGGUGGCAAGGACGG
RNAcentral lists this non-coding RNA (114 nucleotides) under Candidatus Blastococcus massiliensis. Its description in RNAcentral is "S-adenosyl methionine (SAM) riboswitch". It matches the Rfam family "SAM (S-adenosyl methionine) riboswitch aptamer". Rfam says of the family: SAM-IV is a mRNA element that regulates gene expression via direct sensing of S-adenosylmethionine (SAM or AdoMet). Lineage: Bacteria; Bacillati; Actinomycetota; Actinomycetes; Geodermatophilales; Geodermatophilaceae. The record is from RNAcentral.